AUCUAUGGCCAUGCCACCCUGAAUGUUCUUGAUUUCAUCCGAUCUCUGAAGCUAAGCAGGGUCAGGCCUGGUUAGUACUUGGAUGGGAGACCAUGUAGGAAUACCAGGUGCCCAUGUAGG
This 120-nucleotide ribosomal RNA is filed under the name Pteropus alecto (black flying fox). Lineage: Eukaryota; Metazoa; Chordata; Mammalia; Chiroptera; Pteropodidae. The record is from RNAcentral.